This 69-nucleotide transfer RNA is filed under the name Nerthra indica. RNAcentral describes it as "tRNA-Ser". Lineage: Eukaryota; Metazoa; Arthropoda; Insecta; Hemiptera; Gelastocoridae. The record is from RNAcentral.
AAGAGAUUGUUGCAACUAAAAGGAGCUGCUAACUACCUUUUAAAGCGGUUAAAAUCCGUUUAACUCUUA